Molecule: non-coding RNA, 1780 nt
Organism: Equus caballus (horse)
Lineage: Eukaryota; Metazoa; Chordata; Mammalia; Perissodactyla; Equidae
Source: RefSeq, a predicted model, not a curated record
AAGAAUAUGCCCAAGCUCAUGAUCUGGAGCUUCUGCGUUUCCCUAAGGUCCUGGAGAUGUCACCCAAUUGUCCAAAGCCUGCCUCUGCGUGGUCCUCUAAGAAGGCUGCUGUUCUGCAGGUCUGUAUGGACAUCCCACCUGGAUGGCAGCAGCUUUUAUUCUUUUAUGAUUCCCAGACCCUUUGGGCCCUGGGAAAAAAGCAAGAGCUGACUCUCAGUUGGCUGCUUAUUCUGUGCAGGUACUGUGCUGAGUAGUUUAUGAGUAUCAUCUAAUUUUCUUUUAGUAGCUACUAUUCUUAUUAUCAUGCCCAUUUUAUAAAUGGAAAACUGAGGGUUAGAAGAGUUAGGAAGCUUGCCCACUCUCACCCAGGUAGCAAGGGACGGGCCUGGGUCUCGAACUCUUUCAAGGCCAUGGUGAAGGGAAAAGACUCCCCCUAAUAAAUGUUAGUUAUCAGUAGAAGAAGCCAGAGAGGCUGGUCCAAAGUCUCCGAGGCAUAGAGAGACUCCAGCCAAUGUUUCCUCCUCUCCAGGCAACAAAAGCAGAAAAACAAACAUUGGUUAGCAGCACACGUACUUCCGCAUCAAUUAUAUGAAACCCCAGGAUCAUUUAUUCUGAUUAGAAAUUUCCUGACCAGCUCUACUUUGGGGAAGAAAAGAACUGAAAUUUUUUGUGCUUUUGCUACUUUUGGACGGGGCUCUGGAGUUGAUAAAUCUGUCUUCAGCCUGGGUGUGGCCGCUGCUAACUGUAUGACCUCAAGGAAGCCACUUGACUGAUUCCAGCCUCAGUGUCCUCAUCUGCAAAAUGCAGAAGAGGAUCCUGAGACUGGAGUGAGCUUCCUGCCUAAGGUCACACAGCUAGUUCAUGGACAGGCCCAGGACUAGAACUGAAGUUUCGUUUAUCUAUCAGUCAUUUGUCGGAUACUGACUAGGGACCAUGCUGGGCUCCAGAGUUCCACAAUGAAGCACACAGCCUUUGCUUUCAAAGAGCUGACGGGCGAUCACUAUAUGACUGUUGAAGAUCACACACUAGACGACAUCCAUGGAAUGCCCCACCUGCCAGAGUGAGGGAGGAGGACCCACAAGAACUUCGCAGAGUAAAUUCUCCCAAAUCACUAGUUCCCAAUUUACAAAGGUAGUAAUCAAGGCCACUAAAUAUUUUAAGCAAAUUUGCAUUAUAUCUAUCCCUACCCCCUAAUCACUUGAAAUAAUUUACAUGAAAGACUUAAACUCUUGUUUGCAAAAUCUUUUUAAGCACUUAAGCAAUUCUUGUAAAUGUAAUGAAUCAAACUCAUUAAUGUAGUAAAUCAGCUUCUCUUACAAAAAGUCUGUCUGUUAAAAAUUAUCUUACAUCCUUUAGCUUGAAAUUACAAGUCUAAAAUAAAUCAUAUAUUUCAGAUAAGAUAAGCUACUCUGCCUGAUUCUCUAAUACACCAGGUCCUCUUCAACAUCAGACACUGUCUGUCAGGAUACCUGCUAGGUCAUGCCACAGUAACAAACAAUUCCAAAAACCUCAGUGACUUAAAUCAACUUGAUUUCUCACUUUAUAUGUGUUUACUGUGUGUCAGCUGAGGCGUCCCCUCCAGGCCUGGCUCACUCAGGGAGCCAGGCUGAUGAAGAAGCCACUAAAUGGAGCAUUGCUGGUGGCAGAAGGAAAGAGAGAAAGUGGCAAAUUGUGUACUCGCUCUUAAAGCUUUCACUCUAAAGCGAUACUUUUCUUCUUCUUCUUUUUUUUUUUUUUGCUGGGGAAAAUUUGCCCUGAGCUAACACCUGUUGCCAAUCUC